AGGGCAGUAGCUCAGUGGCCGAGCUUCCGCUUGAUAUGCGGGAAGACCUGGGUUCGAUUUCCGGCUGCUUAC
Transfer RNA from Toxocara canis (dog roundworm), 72 nucleotides. It matches the Rfam family "tRNA". From Rfam's summary of the family: Transfer RNA (tRNA) molecules are approximately 80 nucleotides in length. Their secondary structure includes four short double-helical elements and three loops (D, anti-codon, and T loops). Further hydrogen bonds mediate the characteristic L-shaped molecular structure. tRNAs have two regions of fundamental functional importance: the anti-codon, which is responsible for specific mRNA codon recognition, and the 3' end, to which the tRNAs corresponding amino acid is attached (by aminoacyl-tRNA synthetases). tRNAs cope with the degeneracy of the genetic code in two manners: having more than one tRNA (with a specific anti-codon) for a particular amino acid; and 'wobble' base-pairing, i.e. permitting non-standard base-pairing at the 3rd anti-codon position. NCBI's taxonomy places the organism in Eukaryota, Metazoa, Nematoda, Chromadorea, Rhabditida, Toxocaridae. The record is from Rfam.